Molecule: ribosomal RNA, 708 nt
Filed under: Microbacterium radiodurans
Lineage: Bacteria; Bacillati; Actinomycetota; Actinomycetes; Micrococcales; Microbacteriaceae
Description: bacterial SSU rRNA
Rfam family: Bacterial small subunit ribosomal RNA
Source: RNAcentral
GCAUUUUUGUCUAUCAGCUUGUUGGUGAGGUAAAGACUCACCAAGGCGUCGACGGGUAGCCGGCCUGAGAGGGUGACCGGCCACACUGGGACUGAGCCACGACCCAAAUUUGUACGGGAGGCAGCAGUGAUGUAUAUUGCUCAAUGGGUGUAAUCCAGAUGCAGCAACGGCGCGUGAGGUAGGACGGCCCUUCGGGUUGUAAACCUCUUUUAGCAGGGAAGAAGCGAAUGUGACGGUACCUGGCAGAAAAAGCGCCGGCUAACUACGUGCCAGCAGCCGCGGUAAUACGUAGGGGGUAAGUGUUAUCCGGAAGUAUUGGGCGUAAAGAGCUCGUAGGCGGCCUGUCGCGCCGGCGGUGAGAACCCCGAGGCUCAACCUCGGUCUAGCAGUGGGUACUGGCAGACUAGAGUGCGGUAGGGGAGAUUGGAAUUCCUGGUGUAGCGGUGGAGUGCGCAGAUAUCAGGAGGAACACCGAUGGCGAAGUCAGAUCUCUGGGACGGUAGCUGACGCUGAGUAGCAAGAGGCUAGAGGAGCAAACAGUCUUAGGAACGCCUAGUAAUUCCCCCGCGUAAAACAGUUGCGAGCUAGUAUGUUGGGGUCCUUUCGACGGAUUCCUCACGCAGCCUAAGCCUUUACGGUUUCCCGCCUGGGAGCGUCCGCGGUCAAGGCAUAACAGUCAAAUGAAUUGCAGCGGGUGAACUCUGGCCA